CGGUUAAGUUAGAAAGGGCGCACGGUGGAUGCCUUGGCACUAGGAGCCGAUGAAGGACGGGRCGAACACCGAUAUGCUUCGGGGAGCUGUAAGCAAGCUUUGAUCCGGAGAUUUCCGAAUGGGGAAACCCACCACUCGUAAUGGAGUGGUAUCCAUAUCUGAAUUCAUAGGAUAUGAGAAGGCAGACCCGGGGAACUGAAACAUCUAAGUACCCGGAGGAAGAGAAAGCAAAUGCGAUUCCCUGAGUAGC
Molecule: ribosomal RNA, 250 nt
Filed under: Bacillus subtilis
Lineage: Bacteria; Bacillati; Bacillota; Bacilli; Caryophanales; Bacillaceae
Description: partial 23S ribosomal RNA
Rfam family: Bacterial large subunit ribosomal RNA
Source: RNAcentral